This is a non-coding RNA of Oryza glumipatula, 206 nucleotides long. The record is from Rfam. NCBI's taxonomy places the organism in Eukaryota, Viridiplantae, Streptophyta, Magnoliopsida, Poales, Poaceae.
AAAAAGGCAAAUUGUAGGUUCCCGUGCCAACGUUUGACUCUCCGUCUUAUAUGAAAUUUUUUUAUAAUUAGUAUUUUCAUUGUUGUUAGAUGAUAAAACAUGAUUAAUACUUUAUGCGUGAUUUAUCUUUUUAAUUUUUUUUCAUAAUAUUUUUAAAUAAGAUGGACAGUCAAACGUUGGACACGGUAACCAGGGUUUCUCUUUUU